AUAUCUGCCUUCUAACACUCUCCUGUAGUAUCUGUUCUUAUCAGUUUAAUGUCUGAUACGUCCUCUAUCUGAGGACUAUAUAUUAAAUGGAUUUUUGGAACAGGGAGAUGGAAUAGGAGCUUGCUCCAUCCACUCCACGCAUCGACCUGGUAUUGCAGUAUCUCCAAAAAAAACAAACAAA
This 181-nucleotide small nuclear RNA is filed under the name Chelonia mydas (Green sea turtle). RNAcentral describes it as "U2 spliceosomal RNA". It matches the Rfam family "U2 spliceosomal RNA". From Rfam's summary of the family: U2 is a small nuclear RNA (snRNA) component of the spliceosome (involved in pre-mRNA splicing). Complementary binding between U2 snRNA (in an area lying towards the 5' end but 3' to hairpin I) and the branchpoint sequence (BPS) of the intron results the bulging out of an unpaired adenosine, on the BPS, which initiates a nucleophilic attack at the intronic 5' splice site, thus starting the first of two transesterification reactions that mediate splicing. The record is from Rfam by way of RNAcentral. Lineage: Eukaryota; Metazoa; Chordata; Testudines; Cheloniidae.